CAUGCAAGUCGAACGAUGAAGCCCAGCUUGCUGGGUGGAUUAGUGGCGAACGGGUGAGUAACACGUGAGUAACCUGCCCCCGACUCUGGGAUAAGCCCGGGAAACUGGGUCUAAUACCGGAUAUGACCAUGGAACGCAUGUUUUGUGGUGGAAAGAUUUAUCGGUGGGGGAUGGACUCGCGGCCUAUCAGCUUGUUGGUGAGGUAAUGGCUCACCAAGGCGACGACGGGUAGCCGGCCUGAGAGGGUGACCGGCCACACUGGGACUGAGACACGGCCCAGACUCCUACGGGAGGCAGCAGUGGGGAAUAUUGCACAAUGGGCGAAAGCCUGAUGCAGCGACGCCGCGUGAGGGAUGACGGCCUUCGGGUUGUAAACCUCUUUCAGUAGGGAAGAAGCGAAAGUGACGGUACCUGCAGAAGAAGCGCCGGCUAACUACGUGCCAGCAGCCGCGGUAAUACGUAGGGCGCAAGCGUUAUCCGGAUUUAUUGGGCGUAAAGAGCUCGUAGGCGGUUUGUCGCGUCUGCCGUGAAAGUCCGAGGCUCAACCUCGGAUCUGCGGUGGGUACGGGCAGACUAGAGUGAUGUAGGGGAGACUGGAAUUCCUGGUGUAGCGGUGAAAUGCGCAGAUAUCAGGAGGAACACCGAUGGCGAAGGCAGGUCUCUGGGCAUUUACUGACGCUGAGGAGCGAAAGCAUGGGGAGCGAACAGGAUUAGAUACCCUGG
RNAcentral lists this ribosomal RNA (723 nucleotides) under Arthrobacter sp. SC-C4-25. RNAcentral's name for it is "bacterial SSU rRNA". It matches the Rfam family "Bacterial small subunit ribosomal RNA", at positions 54 to 790 of the family's 1533-position model. Lineage: Bacteria; Bacillati; Actinomycetota; Actinomycetes; Micrococcales; Micrococcaceae. The record is from RNAcentral.